CAGAGGGAAACGAACGGUUUCAUUCGCGGUCAGCAACUGGCUCGUACGUCGAUAGCUUCGUUCCUCGUCUAGAAAACUCGGUGCUAGGUGUGGUGUUUCUAUCUUGUGUGUCACUGUACUAUGGGCCUUUGUGAUCCAUGACUGAUGGUAGUAGCAGUAAUGAUAGAGCGCUGUGAGCCAAAAUAAAAACAGAGUAUUUUCCAAACAAGAUCGAGGUGAUUUUUGGGAUCAGUAUAAAUGGAAUAUGAAAUGGAGUAUGUUUGAUCGCAAAGAAGCAUGCAAAAAUGAUUGAGAUGAGAUAUACGAGAUAUGUGAGAUAUUGGAUGCUGGAGAGAGUAGGAAAUGGAAGAAUAGAAAUGGAAGGAAAGAUAGAAGGAUUUUUCAUUUGCGGAAUUUGCGUUUAGAAAAUUUUUAUAAACGUGAAGAUAUCAAUAGAUUGGUGUAUACGAAAUAUUUGAUUUUUUUGAAUAAAGUUUUUUAACCAUU
Molecule: long non-coding RNA, 486 nt
Organism: Apis mellifera (honey bee)
Lineage: Eukaryota; Metazoa; Arthropoda; Insecta; Hymenoptera; Apidae
Exons: 2
Source: RefSeq, a predicted model, not a curated record